Molecule: ribosomal RNA, 2003 nt
Filed under: marine metagenome
Description: bacterial LSU rRNA
Rfam family: Bacterial large subunit ribosomal RNA
Source: RNAcentral
GAGGGGAGUGAAAUAGAACCUGAAACCAUGUGCCUACAAGGUGUAAGAGCUGGGAUUUAUCCUGGUGAUUGCGUGCCUUUUGCUUAAUGAGUCUACGAGUUAGUGUCUGUGGCAAGCUUAAGUCCUUCUGGGACGCAGGCGUAGCGAAAGCAAGUCCGAAUAGGGCGAUUUAGUUGCAGGCGCUAGACCCGAAGCGGAGGCGACCUACCCAUGGCCAGGUUGAAGCGACAGUAAAAUGUCGUGGAGGACCGAACCGAUGUGUGUUGAAAAACGCUCGGAUGAGCUGUGGGUCGGAGUGAAAGGCUAAUCAAACCCCGUGAUAGCUGGUUCUCCUCGAAAUGCAUUUAGGUGCAGCGUUGCGUGUUGAUGAGUGGGGGUAGAGCACUGAAAGGGCUAGGGGGCAUACCCGCCUACCAACCCCUAUCAAACUCCGAAUACCAUUCAAUAGAGCGCAGCAGUGAGACAGUGGGGGAUAAGCUUCAUUGUCGAAAGGGAAACAGCCCAGAUCAGCAGCUAAGGUGCCAAAAUCAUGCUAAGUGGAAAGGAGGUGGGGUUUCUUAGACAGUGAGGAUGUUGGCUUAGAAGCAGCCACCAUUUAAAAAAUGCGUAAUAGCUUACUCAUCGAGAGACCCUGCGCCGAAAAUGAUUGGCGAUAAGCAUGAUACCGAAGCUCUGGAUGUCAGAAUCCUGCGGGAAUCUGGCGUGGUAGAGGAGCAUUGUCAUCUGCAUUGAAGCGGAAAGGCGACUGACCGUGGAGUGAUGACAAGAGAGUAUGUAGACAUGAGUAACGAUAAGCCGGGUGAAAUCCCCGGCCGCCGUAAACCCAAGGUUUCCCGGGCAACGUUUUUCGUCCCGGGGUUAGUCGGGACCUAACCCGAGGCCGAUAGGCGUAGGGGAUGGUAAGCUGAUUAAUAUUUCAGCACCUGCAAAGUGAAGGGGACGCUUACUGGAUUGCAACCAGGUUAUUGAAUUCCGAGGGGAGGCCUUGUGCCGAACCGUAUUGCAUGAAUGUGAGCCAAGAAAAGCCGACACGACUAAAAGCAGCCCGUACCGUAAACCGACACAGGUGGGUGGGUAGAGUAUACCAAGGCGCAAGAGUGAAACCUGGUCAAGGAACUCGGCAAAAUAGCCCCGUAACUUCGGAAGAAGGGGUGCCCCUCUUCGGAGGGGCCGCAGUGAAAUGGGUCAACCGACUGUUUAGCAAAAACACAGCAUUCUGCUAAGGCGCAAGCCGAUGUAUAGGAUGUGACACGUGACCAAUGCCAAAAGAUUACGGUGAGGUGUUAGCACUUUAGUGCGAAGCUCUGAGCCCAAGUCCUGGUGAAUGUCGGCCGUAACUAUAACGGUCCUAAGGUAGCGAAAUUCCUUGUCGGGUAAGUUCCGACCUGCACGAAUCGUGCAACGAGUUGACCACUGUCUCGACCAGGAGCUCAGUGAAAUUGUAGUGCCGGUGAAGAUGCCGGCUACCCGCAGAAGGACGGAAAGACCCUAUAGACCUUAACUGUAAGCUGUUACUGGUUAUUCGAUUUUAAUGCUCAGCAUAAGUGGGAGACUUUGAAGGGUGCGUUUAGGCGCAUCUGGAGUCGCUAGUGAGAUACCACCCUUUGACAUUGGAUAAUCUAACCCCGAGCCGUCACCCGGCCGGGGGACCGUGGCAGCCGGUCAGUUUUACUGGGGCGGUAUCCUCCUAAAGAGUAACGGAGGAGCGCGAAGGUUGGUUCAGCACGGUCUGCAACCGUGUGUCGAGUGUAAUGGCACAAACCAGCCUAACUGUGAGACCCACAAGUCGAGCAGAUACGAAAGUAGGCCAUAGUGAUCCGGCGGUAGAAAGUGGAAUUGCCGUCGCUCAACGGAUAAAAGGUACCUUAGGGAUAACAGGCUGAUCGCGCCCAAGAGUUCAUAUCGACGGCGCGGUUUGGCACCUCGAUGUCGGCUCGUCGCAUCCUGGGGCUGGAGCAGGUCCCAAGGGUCGGGCUGUUCGCCCGUUAAAGCGGCACGCGAGC